UUGCGGUUAAAAAGCUCGUAGUUGGGUUUCUGCCGGUGAGCGACGGUCUGCCCCAGUGGUUGGUACACGUCGUGGCGCCGGCAUCUUCCUGGGGAAUGUGUCUGCACUUGAUUGUGUGGCGCGGGAUCCGGGACAUUUACUUUGAGGAAAUUACAGUGCUUCAAGCAGGCUCGCGCUCUCUGAAUACGUUAGCAUGGAAUAAUAGCAUCGGACCUCGAUCCAAAGCUGUUGGUUUCUUGGAUCUGGGUAAAGGUGAAUAGGGAUUGUUGGGGGCAUUCGUAUUUAACUGUCAGAGGUGAAAUUCUUGGAUUUGUUGAAGACGGACUACUGCGAAAGCAUCUGCCAAAGAUGUUCUCAUUGAUCAAGAACGAAAGUUAGGGGAUCGAAGACGAUCAGAUACCGUCCUAGUCUUAACCAUAAACUAUGCCGACUGGAGAUCGGUGGAUGCUAUUAUCAUGGCACCAUC
Molecule: ribosomal RNA, 466 nt
Filed under: uncultured marine eukaryote
Lineage: Eukaryota
Description: SSU rRNA
Rfam family: Eukaryotic small subunit ribosomal RNA
Source: RNAcentral